GAGGGCGGGUGGGCCGCUCGCACGGCAAUCGAGUAGAGAGUACGAAAUAACCUAAUGCAGUCAUCGUCAACAGAAAACGUAGGCCUCCAGCCUCACGCCGACUCUCUUACCUACAUUCAUAUUUACUACCUCGUUCCCAAGACUCCGCCGCGUUGCCUCUAGUUCGGCUCGUGCCACAGGUAACUUCGCUCGUCGCUACUUUGCCAUUCACCUUCGCCUCCACCCAGCCUCUGCUUCUCCACAGAAGCGGCGACCUCCUUCGCCGUUGUUGCGCCUCGUCUAUGCGACUCCUCCUCAUCCGACUGUGUCUUCUGCCUACCCGGUGCGCGCCCCCUCUCUCUGCGCAUCCGUUUCUCCGGCCCUCUCUUACGGUUGCCUACCUUACUGCAGGACUCGCCCCUUGCCUGUCCGGUGCCGGGUAGGCUUUCCUUGCCUCCCCCGGCCCUACUUGGGGCGCCCCUCCUUGGCUCGUCAACUACCUUACUUCCGUCCGUUCCUGCCCCUCGGGGGCCCAACCCCUCCGCCCUUUCUGUGGGCCC
Molecule: long non-coding RNA, 539 nt
Filed under: Volvox carteri
Lineage: Eukaryota; Viridiplantae; Chlorophyta; Chlorophyceae; Chlamydomonadales; Volvocaceae
Description: long non-coding RNA (VCAR_LNC000038)
Source: RNAcentral